GCAGACGGUGGGACAGACCUACAAAAAGACACAGGCGAGACAGACAAGUGAGAUACUGAUAGCUGAGACUAAUGGGUCAGACAUGGGACACAGCCACGUGAGACAGACUGGUGAUAUGAGAAAAACAGGAAGCUGCUGUCGGCCGAGCUGCCGAGCGAUACUACCAGCUGUUGGAAACAGGAAGUGACCCGACUGAGAGCAUCCUGACCACGCUCACACUCGGCGUGCCGUCGCCGCCCUCCUGCCAGCUCGCCCACAGAUCGGCGCCACCGACUCAUGAUGUCAUUACCAGCCUGAUGACAGGUAAAACAGCGUGCGUGUGCGGGCAGCCUCCAUCAGCUCAUGGCACAGACACUGACAGAAGCCGUAGAGGACAAGCAGCAGCAGUGUGCAUGGGACCAGACUGACGAGGAUGACGCCCAGCCACAGCUGACC
Melanotaenia boesemani (Boeseman's rainbowfish) is the source of this 435-nucleotide long non-coding RNA. RefSeq lists it as uncharacterized. The transcript is spliced from 3 exons. The record is from RefSeq and is a predicted model, not a curated record. Lineage: Eukaryota; Metazoa; Chordata; Actinopteri; Atheriniformes; Melanotaeniidae.